UCUGUAAUCGAACACUUAGAAGUCGGUGUCAUUGGCUUCAGAAUGGCCUGUACCCAGUGGUUGAAAUCCUCCCCAAUUUGCCACCGGUUUGCUGCCCGCACAUGCGCGCUGCGCACCAACAUGCCAAACGUGAGCUUUGUGCAGAAAAAGGAGGCUUGGGAAGGCACAAAAGCCAGCUGGGAGACUUUGGGCCAACCCUAGAUGCGGGAAGCUGAAAAAAUAUCCCAGCAAAAGCUUUAAAAUGGAUGGGUAAAGCCUCCAGGAGACGAUCCAGAGGGUUGAAGAAGCCAGCCCCAAUCUCUCCAAUGUCAAUAGUGCCUUCCGUAAUCCUUGAAAGCUAAUAAUCAAAACCUACCUCUAAUAUGGGCCCAUAUUACACAGGACUGUGUUCUCAUCUGAGGGGAAAAAAAGACACUCCCUUAAUUCGAGGUAGAGUUGGCGCAAUUGGAUGGAACUGAGUAUUUACUGGCCGCAUGCCCUUCCUGAUGCCUACAUGGAGUUCACAAAGUUUUUUUUCUUCGUGCCCUAGAAGAAAAACAUCUGCCGCUACCUAGGAUUGAACUCUCGACCUUCCAAAUGGGAAGCGAGUGUCUUCAUAACUAAGCCAACACACCACUCAUUCAGUAUUCUGGUUUUAUUGUUAUUAUUAAUUAAACUCUUCCAUGACAGUCAGCCAGAUGUGCAUCAAAAGCUAUAAAGUUAGGUAGUUCUCGAUUUACGACCACAAUUGAACCUAAAAUUUCUGUUGCUAAGCAAAUUUUGCCACAUUUUACGACCUUGUAAUUCCAAUUUAGGAAAAUUAUUCAAGUGAUUUUCUUGGUUGUUAUUUGUACAUGCCUUUUAAUUAUUAAAAUAUCAGCUGAUUUCUUUUGUAUGUUCAAUGUAAUAUAUUUUUCCAUAUCAUUCUUAUAGCCUGUUAUUUUUAAAUCCAUUUUCACAUAAGUCUCAUUCAUGUCAUUUUUUCCUCUUUUCUAGCAUUUUUUAAACACACUCCUGCUAUAGAGGCAAAAACUCUUAAAAUUAAUUUCUGGCUCCAUUGUUCACAAAUAUUCUUCAAUAUGUCCGAUGUUAAAAUAUUUUGCUUCAUUCUGCACUUGUGAGUUUGAGUAUUAUUCUUCUUUAAUUGUAAUCUUUAGUUCAUUCUAGUUCCCCCUUGUUUGUGAGUUUUUAAAGCCUUAUCUCAUUAUGUUUUUUUAAAGAAUUCAAAACAAAACUAUUUUCCCAUGGGAAGGAUUUUUUAUAAUUAAUUCCAAAAUCUUAUUUCAAAUUUAUAUGUAUCCUUAGACUGUUUGUAACUUUCUAAAAUCAAAGUUUUAACUACUCCUUUUCUGUUUAUUUCUUAAACUUGUAUUUAAAGUUUAUUUUGCUAAGGAUUGAAAGAAGGAUUGAAAGAAAUUUAAAAAUCAAGCAUGGUUAAAUUUGUUGAUUCAAAGAUUCCUAAUAGCUGAAAAGCCGUUAACAAACAGUCAUUGAAAAUGAUUAGAAAAGGAUGUUAGGUGAACCCAACUUCAAAGAUACAGACUGUAGCUUCAGCAAGAUAGCUAUUCCCUUGUCUCCUAGAGUUCUGAGUUUCAAUUUGCAAUACAAGAUUUAUCAUGUGCAUGCUGUUAAUAAAAAAGGCCACUGGAUGCCAGUACUGUUCUAUUAAAAUGCAAGACCUCAAAACUGUACCAUUUAAAAGCUUAACAAUCCUUCUUUUCAAACCAGUCUUAUAAAGAGAUUAAGGUGACUGAGUGACAAAAUUAAAACGUUUAGAUGGCUUUAAGGGAAAUUUUAAUGGAAAUGUUAUGCUUGGGUUCAAGAAGAGCUAUUAGCUUUAUAAUGGAACCAAAAGGUACUAUUGAAAAGGAAGAAACUCUACUGAAUGGAAUUGAAAUAGACUUUAAGGGGAUUUAAAAACUAUACCUUAUAAGAAAGGGAUGGAAAUAUUGGAUUUACAAAUGAAAUUGAAUUAUGAAUUAAGAAUUCAAAAAGAUACAUGAAUAAUAAACCAAAAGAAGGAUGUGCAAUAUUUUUUACAUUGGACUUUGUGGAAUUUCCUGAAGCUGUUUCAGUGGAACUGCAAAAGGAUUUUAAUAAAGAUGAUAAGAAUUCUGAGAGAAGAGACAAGGAUAAGUAGAUAUUGGAAUUCUAUUGGUGCGACUUAAAGAUCAUUGAUGGAAAGAAAUAAAAAUACAAAAUUGGUUUUAUCUGAUUUCCAUUAAAAUAAUGGCCUGUUAUCUCUGGUGAUCUUUAAUGGAGAUCUUUUUUGACAGGGAUUGGAUGAUGAGUGUUAGUUUUGGUAAUGUUUAAUAUAGUGGAAUGGAAUUAAUUGGGAUUGGACUUUGAGUAUUAUUGGAAGAGAUGGGAAAAUUUGCAUAAGUGGGGAAAUAUAAAUAUUUAAGUUGUUAUUUCUGUUAACUCUUAGUGGACUUUUCCUGAUUAAUAAGAGUAAUUGAAAAUUUAUAGGCGGGUUUAUAGAAAAUUGGAUCAGGUAUGGAAUGAAGAAAUGUUUUAUAUUUUAAGAGACAGUGAUAAGAUGUUAAUUUUGGCUAUACUUGCUGGAAAUAAAGAGGGAAGUUUUUUCUUCCAAUUUUUCCUUUCUGUGUAUGUGUGUGUGUAUUUCUGCAUUAGCUUUUUGUAUUUUCCUUAUUUCUUAAAUGUAAUUUUUAAUAAAAUUAUUGGGGGGAAAACUUGGGAUGGCAAAUGUAUCAUAGACAAUAUACUUCCUUUCAUUGUAGCUUAACAGUGGUCUCUUCUACGGUAGAUCACAGUAUAAAUCAAUCUCAGCAGCAAAAACAAGUAACUAAGGGUUACUAACCAUGUUGUUAGGAUAGUUAUUUAAAAUUUGAGACUCAGUACUAUAAUUAACUACUAAA
Long non-coding RNA from Ahaetulla prasina, 2858 nucleotides. RefSeq lists it as uncharacterized. The record is from RefSeq and is a predicted model, not a curated record. The transcript is spliced from 5 exons. Lineage: Eukaryota; Metazoa; Chordata; Lepidosauria; Squamata; Colubridae.